RNAcentral lists this ribosomal RNA (484 nucleotides) under uncultured bacterium. Its description in RNAcentral is "bacterial SSU rRNA". It matches the Rfam family "Bacterial small subunit ribosomal RNA", at positions 22 to 518 of the family's 1533-position model. The record is from RNAcentral.
GGUCAGGACGAACGCUGGCGGCGUGCCUAACACAUGCAAGUCGAGCGAGAUGAACCCUCGGGGUGAUUCUAGCGGCGACGGGUGAGUAACACGUGGGUAACCUGCCUCAAAGAGGGGGAUAGCCUCCCGAAAGGGAGAUUAAUACCGCAUAACAUUAGUUUCUUCGCAUGAAGAGAUAAUCCAAAGGAGUAAUCCGCUUUUGAGAUGGACCCGCGGCGCAUUUAGGCUAGUUGGUGAGGUAAUGGCUCACCAAGGCGACGAUGCGUAGCCGACCUGAGAGGGUGAUCGGCCACAUUGGAACUGAGAUACGGUCCAGACUCCUACGGGAGGCAGCAGUGGGGAAUAUUGCGCAAUGGGGGAAACCCUGACGGCCAGCAACGCCGCGUGGGUGAAGAAGGCCUUCGGGUUGUAAAGCUCUGUCUUCUGGGACGAUAAUGACGGUACCAGAGGAGGAAGCCACGGCUAACUACGUGCCAGCAGCGGC